This 419-nucleotide ribosomal RNA is filed under the name uncultured bacterium. RNAcentral's name for it is "partial 16S ribosomal RNA". It matches the Rfam family "Bacterial small subunit ribosomal RNA", at positions 363 to 774 of the family's 1533-position model. The record is from RNAcentral.
CUUCCACAAUUGGCUAAAGCCUGAUGGAGCAAAGCCGCGUGAGUGAAGAAGGUUUUCGGAUCGUAAAACUCUGUUGUAAGGGAAGAACAAGUACAGUCGUAACUGGCUGUACCUUGACGGUACCUUAUUCGAAAGCCCCGGCUAACUACGUUCCAGCCGCCGCGGUAAUACGUAGGUGGCAAGCGUCGUCCGGAAUUAUUGGGCGUAAAGCGCGCGCAGGCGGUCCUUUAAGUCUGAUGUGAAAGCCCACGGCUCAACCGUGGAGGGUCAUUGGAAACUGGGGGACUUGAGUGCAGAAGAGGAAAGUGGAAUUCCAAGUGUAGCGGUGAAAUGCGUAGAGAUUUGGAGGAACACCAGUGGCGAAGGCGACUUUCUGGUCUGUAACUGACGCUGAGGCGCGAAAGCGUGGGGAGCAAACA